GAAGCACAAUACUAGUGAACCUCACAGAGGUCCAAAGGGGAAGUUCAGCAUCCAAAGCCGACUCCCUCUUUCCCCCCACGAAUGGCUACCUGGGCAGAUGUACACCUGCAGGGUGAACCAUUGUAACGGAAACAUAGCCCUGAACAUGUCCAAACCAGAGAUUCUUGAAGAAAGUGUGUUAUUUGACGAGAACAAACAGGUUUUCGUCCAAGACAUGGGGGAGGACAACUGGAUGAUGACCAUUACCUUCCUCCUCCUGUUCUUCGUCUCCCUUUUCUAUGGCAUCUUGGUCACGGUUAUAAAGACAAAGUGAGAAGGACCUCAAGAAACAUCUAGUGGAUCCUGUAAUGUGAAGCAGAGGAUGCAAAGGAAGCAACUAUUUCCAUUACAGCAAUGAAUUAUAACUGAUGUAUGAUGAUAAUGUUAUGUGACUAGCCAUAAAGAAUAUUAUAAUAAAAAAUAUAGAAUAAAAUAAAAAUGAUAUCAAUGGUACCUGGAAAAUUCUAAACAUUGUAUUAGGAUAUAAACCAUAAAGUGGAGUCAAGGGAGCCUAUACAGUA
Molecule: long non-coding RNA, 560 nt
Organism: Gadus morhua (Atlantic cod)
Lineage: Eukaryota; Metazoa; Chordata; Actinopteri; Gadiformes; Gadidae
Exons: 3
Source: RefSeq, a predicted model, not a curated record